Bactrocera tryoni is the source of this 209-nucleotide long non-coding RNA. RefSeq lists it as uncharacterized. The transcript has 2 exons. The record is from RefSeq and is a predicted model, not a curated record. Lineage: Eukaryota; Metazoa; Arthropoda; Insecta; Diptera; Tephritidae.
ACUUUUGCGAAAUUUUCAAUAAACUAAAAACAGCUAAUUAAAUAUCCAACUUUGUUUUUUUUUAUUUAAGCUCAAGUGAAAGUGAUGGGGAUAAAAAACUAGUGCGGAGAUAGCUAAGAGAUCGUAGCAAUAGCAUUAUUGUUGAACAAAGCAUUUGAAUCUUAAAAAUACGGUGGAGAAUUUUAGGAUAUGGCGAGAGAGAAAGGUAU